This 31-nucleotide non-coding RNA is filed under the name Mus musculus (house mouse). The record is from RNAcentral. Lineage: Eukaryota; Metazoa; Chordata; Mammalia; Rodentia; Muridae.
UGCCACGUUGAUUACAAAAUGUCUGGGAACA